This 332-nucleotide ribosomal RNA is filed under the name uncultured bacterium. RNAcentral describes it as "bacterial SSU rRNA". It matches the Rfam family "Bacterial small subunit ribosomal RNA", at positions 568 to 899 of the family's 1533-position model. The record is from RNAcentral.
CGCGUAGGCGGUGCCAUAAGUCAGAUGUGAAAGCCCUGGGCUUAACCUAGGAUGUGCAUUUGAAACUGUGGCGCUAGAGAUCGAGAGAGGAAAGCGGAAUUACGAGUGUAGAGGUGAAAUUCGUAGAUAUUCGUAAGAACACCAGUGGCGAAGGCGGCUUUCUGGCUCGAUACUGACGCUAAGGCGCGAAAGCGUGGGGAGCAAACAGGAUUAGAUACCCUGGUAGUCCACGCUGUAAACGAUGAGUGCUAGAUGUUGGUGAAGGAAUUCAUCAGUGUCGCAGCUAACGCAUUAAAGCACUCCGCCUGGGGAGUACGGUCGCAAGAUUAAAA